AAGUCGUAACAAGGUUUCUGUAGGUGAACCUGCAGAAGGAUCAUUAGUGAAGAUUUGGGCAGGCCAUACGGACGCCAAAAAAGUGUCCCUGGCCGCCUACACCCACUAUAUACAUCCACAAACCCGUGUGCACUGUCUUGGAGAAAGGCUUCUUGAGAAGUUUUGUGGCCUCUCUUGGGGUCUUUCUUCGCUACAAACUCGAAUGGUUAGUAUGAACGUGGAACUUGGUUGGACCGUCACUGGCCAACAAACUAUACACAACUUUCGACAACGGAUCUCUUGGUUCUCC
Molecule: unclassified non-coding RNA, 289 nt
Filed under: Malassezia restricta
Lineage: Eukaryota; Fungi; Basidiomycota; Malasseziomycetes; Malasseziales; Malasseziaceae
Description: partial internal transcribed spacer region
Rfam family: Eukaryotic small subunit ribosomal RNA (bases 1-46)
Source: RNAcentral